Molecule: transfer RNA, 64 nt
Filed under: Schistosoma mekongi
Lineage: Eukaryota; Metazoa; Platyhelminthes; Trematoda; Strigeidida; Schistosomatidae
Description: tRNA-Arg
Source: RNAcentral
CUGGUAUUCUAAUAUAGAGUUUGAGUUUCGGCCUCAAUUAGUUGUAGAAUAGUCUACUACCAGU